ACUCCUACGGGAGGCAGCAGUGGGGAAUAUUGCACAAUGGGCGCAAGCCUGAUGCAGCCAUGCCGCGUGUGUGAAGAAGGCCUUCGGGUUGUAAAGCACUUUCAGUCGUGAGGAAGGUAGUGUAGUUAAUAGCUGCAUUAUUUGACGUUAGCGGCAGAGAAGACACCGCGUAACUCCGUGCCAGCAGCCGCGGUAAUACGGAGGGUGCGAGCGUUAAUCGGAAUUACUGGGCGUAAAGCGCAUGCAGGUGGUUUGUUAAGUCAGAUGUGAAAGCCCGGGGCUCAACCUCGGAAUUGCAUUUGAAACUGGCAGACUAGAGUACUGUAGAGGGGGGUAGAAUUUCAGGUGUAGCGGUGAAAUGCGUAGAGAUCUGAAGGAAUACCGGUGGCGAAGGCGGCCCCCUGGACAGAUACUGACACUCAGAUGCGAAAGCGUGGGGAGCAAACAGGAUUAGAUACCCUGGUAGCUACGAGU
This 474-nucleotide ribosomal RNA is filed under the name uncultured bacterium. RNAcentral's name for it is "bacterial SSU rRNA". It matches the Rfam family "Bacterial small subunit ribosomal RNA", at positions 335 to 802 of the family's 1533-position model. The record is from RNAcentral.